RNAcentral lists this ribosomal RNA (607 nucleotides) under Mastigocladus laminosus. Its description in RNAcentral is "partial 16S ribosomal RNA". Lineage: Bacteria; Bacillati; Cyanobacteriota; Cyanophyceae; Nostocales; Hapalosiphonaceae. The record is from RNAcentral.
AGUUUCUACCGCCCUUAUUUGGUUGAGCCAAACUCUUUAACAAUAGACACACACAGCCACCUACGGACGCUUUACGCCCAAUCAUUCCGGAUAACGCUUGCAUCCUCCGUAUUACCGCGGCUGCUGGCACGGAGUUAGCCGAUGCUGAUUCCUCAGGUACCUUCACUUGCUUAUUCCCUGAGAAAAGAGGUUUACAACCCAAGAGCCUUCCUCCCUCACGCGGUAUUGCUCCGUCAGGCUUUCGCCCAUUGCGGAAAAUUCCCCACUGCUGCCUCCCGUAGGAGUCUGGACCGUGUCUCAGUUCCAGUGUGGCUGAUCAUCCUCUCAGACCAGCUACUGAUCGUCGCCUUGGUAGUCCCUUACACCACCAACUAGCUAAUCAGACGCGAGCUCAUCUCCAGGCAGUUAACCUUUCACCUCUCGGCAUACCCGGUAUUAGCCACCGUUUCCAGUGGUUGUCCCGAACCUAGAGCCAGAUUCUCACGCGUUACUCACCCGUCCGCCACUAAACCCCUAAAGGGUCCGUUCGACUUGCAUGUGUUAAAGCAUACCGCCAGCGUUCAUUCUGAGCCAGGAUCAAACUCUUCAUUGAAUCACUAAUGAAUUC